GGAGGGCAAAGUCUGGUGCCAGCAGCCGCGGUAAUUCCAGCUCCACUAGCGUAAAAUAUUACUGCUGCGGUUAAAAAGCUCGUAGUUGAAUCUAGUCGUGUCCGUUGGGUUUGUCGUUGGCGUUUAUUCGUCUCUGGCGUUAAUUCACGGCCGAUUUUUGCUGGUUUGCUGUUGGUCUUCGGAUCUUCGGUGGCUAGCGAGUUACUUUGAUCAAAUCAGAGUGCUCAAAACAGGCGAAAGCUUGUAUGAUUUCUCGAGGAAUAACAGAAGAGGACUUCGGUUCUAUUUGUUGGUUCCAGAAUCGUUUACUGGUUAAGAGGGACAAUUCGGGGGCAAACGUAUCCUCGCGCGAGGGGUGAAAUUCUUGGACCGUAGAGAGACGCCCUACUGCGAAAGCAUUUGCCAA
This 406-nucleotide ribosomal RNA is filed under the name Rhabditis sp. 3 MK-2017. RNAcentral's name for it is "bacterial SSU rRNA". It matches the Rfam family "Eukaryotic small subunit ribosomal RNA", at positions 550 to 961 of the family's 1831-position model. Lineage: Eukaryota; Metazoa; Nematoda; Chromadorea; Rhabditida; Rhabditidae. The record is from RNAcentral.